Molecule: long non-coding RNA, 1549 nt
Organism: Setaria italica (foxtail millet)
Lineage: Eukaryota; Viridiplantae; Streptophyta; Magnoliopsida; Poales; Poaceae
Exons: 3
Source: RefSeq, a predicted model, not a curated record
UUUAUCUCUCUUCUUUUUUUCCCUCCCUUCUAUUCUCUUAUCCGUUCCUCCACCGUUCCUCAAGGACCUCACGUCGUCCUUAUCCUUUCUCCAGCUCAGUGAUGCUCUGCCUCCCGCCACCUACUCCCUCCGUUCCUUGUGCACUACUGCUGGCCUGCUGCCUCUUCGUCGCCGCUGCGCGGGCGCUCAUUUUGCUCCGCAGCUGCUGCCCGACACGCGCCGUGCCGUAUCUCCGCUGGACCACGCGGAGCAGAGGUGGGCCCAUCGACGGCACACCCCGUUGCUCCUGCGCGGUCGCACUCUGCCCCGACGUGCCGCUUCCCCGCCGCCGCGCUUUGAGCCUGGCAUGCUGCUUCCUCGCAGCACGUUCCGGCUAGCCCCGGCAUGCCGCUCCCCGAUGCCGUGCGUGCUUCCUUGGCCUGGCGUCCAAUAUACAACCAACAGUUGUGCCUCGAGGGAAAAAUAAAACCUGUCAACCAUCCAGAUGCAUCACUUGAUCGACAGCAAAUCAAGGAGACUUGAGAUAAAAUAGACAGCAAAAAGAAUUGUCGGUCAAUAAUGGCCAGUGGAGCAGCGGAUUGGGUAAUAUGAAAAUGAUUAUAGAUUAAUAUAAGCAGGGACAUAUUAUUCUAAUGAUAAAUAUUUUAAGGGCUAUAUCUCGAGGCAGUCAUCUGGUGUUGUACUAUCUGCUACUUGAUGAUAUAUUAUCAUGCAUUGCUGACAAAAUCCAUGGAAUUUGCUCAGGCUAGUUUGUUUGUUUAGUUGCGGUCACGUUUAGUUAGCAUUACUGUUUUCUCAGAGAAAGGCCAAGUUGAAUUCCUUCACCAACAAAAUGAGGUAGAAAGGCCACGUGAUGGUGCGGGGGCCCAAUAUAACUACUACAUACUUGCUUGACAGCUAGUAGGCCCAGCAACUGGAUAAUUUGUAUGCAUCCAAGAGAGUGAUUAUGAUUUGGCCCAUUGGGCUUGACACGAAUUCGUCCGUAUUCUUCGCAACAAAAAGAUUCCUUCGUGAACUAAACUGAAACAAACCAUCACAUGCGGACGAAGGAGAAAACAACAAUAUUUAUAUGCCAAUACGGUUUGUAGACGGGUGAGCCAAAUACGAGGGCACCUCGACCGUCAACCGAGCGCCCGAGCCGGACUCCGUUCCCAUGCCGUCGCCUAAGCCGCCUGCGACGGACGCCCUCUUGCCUCUCCUUCCCCACAAAAUCCCGCGCCGCUGCAGGCCUAGCGCCUGCCACUUUCAUAGCAUGAUCCUGCUUCCAUUGAUUUCCAUCCUCACCGUGUUCCAUCAAAUCCAAGCCCAAGCUGAGGUUCGCGAUCGCGACAAGUUAUGUCGUGGCAAUUGGUGAAGAAUAUAUAGGCUUCUUCGGAAAGGAGAGGAUGGAGCAUGAACUUGUAGCAGAAAGCGGCUACAAGAAUAAGAUAAUGCGGCUUUUUUUAUUCCAAUUAGAGUGAAAAAAAAUAAAAGAAUAGUUGAUGUUUAUACUUCCUUAUUAUUUGACAUAUAUAUUUCAUGGGAUGAGACACCGGAAAGAGAAUAAUGC